This 443-nucleotide long non-coding RNA is filed under the name Homo sapiens (human). RNAcentral describes it as "non-protein coding lnc-VEZF1-1:2". Lineage: Eukaryota; Metazoa; Chordata; Mammalia; Primates; Hominidae. The record is from RNAcentral.
CAAGUAGUAUUUGUGGACAGCAGCAGGUGACCAUUGUGAGGUAGAUAUUUUGUUCUAAUUUUCCAGAUGAGGAAGCUGAGACCCUAAAAGGCUGACCGGUUCCCUGAUGUGUUACCUGCUUCUGCUACUGAUCCAAACUGCAGAACUUCUCAUUCAUCCCCAAGGCCUCCAGGCAGUAUCCAAUGGGGAAUCAGCUCUAAAAGGAACCAGACCAACGUUUUCCAGCCCCUUCAUUCUGCUUCCCUCUGUGUGAGGAAAGGAUAGAAAUGUUCAGGACAUCAUCAUACAGGCUCCUCAUCUACAAAGUUCCAGUAGCAGUGACGCCUACACGGAAGACUUGGAACUGCAAACAGGCUGGGGUCACCUCAGUGACAUCUGACGCUGUCCAACCAGAAGUUCGAUUUUUGUUCUGGGGGUGAAGGAGGAAACAGACUGUACUAAAG